CAAACCAGCAUCCUGAAAGCCAUUGAGUCAGUCUUUGAAGAGGCAGCCCUUGCUUCAAAGCACCUUUAAAAAUGUGGCUCUUCUGUGACUUGGAAAUGCUUCCGCUAAGAUUGAACAUGGAAAAGUGCUGAUAGUGGGGCUUUGCCCCUUCAAUGUAUUAGAAAGGCCAGGAUGACUGUCUGGUGUCUGGCGCCUGCAGGAAUCGGGGACGGAGGAAGCCGCAGCAGUAAAACGGCAGAGACCACGGGCCGGGACGCUGUUGGCAGGUGCCGCUGCCCGGGCUGGAGGAAGG
Molecule: long non-coding RNA, 292 nt
Organism: Columba livia (rock pigeon)
Lineage: Eukaryota; Metazoa; Chordata; Aves; Columbiformes; Columbidae
Exons: 2
Source: RefSeq, a predicted model, not a curated record